Epinephelus moara (kelp grouper) is the source of this 6190-nucleotide long non-coding RNA. RefSeq lists it as uncharacterized. NCBI's taxonomy places the organism in Eukaryota, Metazoa, Chordata, Actinopteri, Perciformes, Serranidae. The transcript has 2 exons. The record is from RefSeq and is a predicted model, not a curated record.
AUAAUAAUAAUAAUAAUAAUAAUAAUAAUACAUUUUAUUUAUAGGCGCCUUUCACGACAUUCAUGGUCACCUAACAGGCAGAGAUAGAGAAAAUAACAAAAAGUCAAUGAGUUAAGGAAUAAAGUAACAUAAAAUAAACAGAGGGAUGGGAGUCAUACAGAAUAGAGAACGAGAUGAGUUUUGAGGCGGGAUUUGAAAGUGGAGAGAGUUGAUGUCACGAAGGUCCGAUGGAAGGGAGUUCGAGAGGCGAGGGGCAGAGCGACUGAAGGCUCUAAACCCCAUGGUGGUCAGGCGGGCUGGCAGGACAGUGAGGUGGAUGGAAGAGGAAGACCUGAGAGUGCAGGUAGGGGUGUGGAUGUGCAAGAGUUCAGAGAGGUACAGAGGAGUUUGGUUGUGGAUGGCCUUAAAGGCGAGGAGUAAGAUCUUAAAGUCAGUGUGGUGUUUAACUGGGAGCCAGUGAAGCUGCUGAAGGACAGGAGGGAUGUGAUUGAUGGAGGGGGUUCCCGGCGAUGAUGCGGGACCAGUUGAAGUUUGUGGAUGGACUUGAGAGGUAGACCAAAAAGGAGCGAGUUACAGUAAUCAAUACGGGAUGUAACCAGGGUGUGAACAAGAAUGGUGGUACUGUGCGGUGUGAAGGACAGGCGAAGGUGGUUAAUAUUGAGUAGUAGUGACAUUAUUGAUGUGAGCUUGGAAUGAUAGAGUGCUGUCAAGAAUGGGAAGGAGGGGGAAACUGAGGAGUUAUCAAUGUCAAGUGUGAAACUGUCAAUUUUUGCCAAGGUGGAUUUGCUGCCAAUGAGAAAAAAGUUGUUGCAUCUCCAUCUGUAACUUUUGACCUGCACGUUAUACUGCAGUUGUUUUUUCUUGUUGACCAACGUGUAGUUUUUGUGCCAAACUACAUUAACCUUGGUAUUUUUUCCAAUUUGCACUCAGCGUUUGUUCUUCGUGGUUCUCUCGUGCUGCCUGAUUAGAUGCUGUUGGAUUGGUUCAAACUAGGGGAUUCGGAGAAUUAAGUGUCAACUGCACUUCCUGUUCCCUCAUCUCAAAGGCAAUUGGCUUUUUGAAUGGGUUUAUGUUUAGAUGCCUGAAAUAAGGACUGUGGUCAACACAAGCUAAAUAGAAUGUCACGUUUUGUUUUAGCUGAUACCCCAUUCAUACAUUUUGAAGCGUCUUAAGACGUCUUAAAACAGACAGUUGCUAACAAGUGGCUAAAUGAGACUACAGAGUGCCAUCACGUCAAACCGCGUUGAACACGGCUUUAUAGCCUUGUUGUGGUGGCAACCUUGAAGUCACACAACCUUGGUGUAGUUUGUUUAUAACUUUCAACAGCAUUUAUGCUUCAAAAAUCAAGUGGUGUUCAUUUGUUACCUGUCUGAACAAAACAUGUAUCAUAUACGUUUGUUUGCCACAGAGCUUAUUUUCGGCAGUAAUCCAAAAUUUAAUGGCUCAAUUCCAUUGGCUUUUUGUCGAGGGAACCCUGCCGAUGUUAAUGUCUGUGGUGAACCACAAAUAAAUGUCAUCCCUGCAGCACUCUAUAGCGUUAAUGUUAGUUGAUUCAGGAAAUGAAGGAACAUGAAUUGAUAUGUGUUACACUUUUUAAAGAACAUACUUCAUAAUCUUUGUGCUUGGGUGAAGGUAUAGAGUAUUUUCAAGUCAAAAGGCUCAAGUGAAAUCACAAGUCAUUGGUGUUGAAUCCAAGUCGACUAGCAAGUCUUCUUUGAGUCUGUCAAAUCUAAAGUCAUCAAAUUUGACUCAAGUCCAAGUCAUGUGACUUGAGUCCACAUGUCUGGGGACAGGUGACAAGAUAAUCCAGUAAAAUGUCUUCAGGUUACAGGAGGUCACAGGUACCAGGUCUGUUGUUAAAUACAUGCACAAAAAGUGAGAAUUUCUUUGCCAAGAGAACUGUGAGGUGACAGGCAGUACAACCUAUUUGUCAAAUUGGAAGCAUUUUCCAGGGACCUUUGCUCCAGGUAAUCUCUACGUGUUCCUAAAAGGGCUCUGAGGUUCUUGGGAAAGUUCACAUUGUGGAAAAUGGCCAGCAGAGGUGUUAGCCUAAUGCUGCAGAAAUCAAACCAGAACCUUCACUUGAUUCACUCUAACGAGGUGUAGUGCACUCUUCAUUGAUACAAGUAAAUAUUACCUCAUUCAGUGUGCACUGAGUUAGUCUGGCUGAACGUUCACCUUCAAAAUGACUCAUAAAAUCAAGAGACAUGGUGAAAUCAAUCUUUCAAUCUGGCAUUACUCACCGAUGUUAUCCAAGAAUCGUUUUAAUCACUUUAUCCUCCAGUGUGAUGAUUGCAAUGUACAUGGCACAAUGCACUCUAAUAGAAAUGUGCACUUGCAUGUAUCUGAUUGUCAAACAGUGUGUUUCAUUGCAUUGCAGCAUAACUUGAACCGGGUUCAACUUCUUUGCUGGAGCCCUUUGUUUCAGCAUCUCUGCAAUGGUUGCACUGGGUUGCAUUCAUUGCGACAGUGCAAAUGUCAGUUAUGUAAUGUUAUGUAAGUCCAAUUUUACCCUAAGACUGAUGAGCAUUCAAUGUGGACAGAAUUGUGUGUUUUUAUGCAAUAGCUAGAGACGGUCCUAAAGACGGUCCUGGCAAAGACCCUCUUACUGUUGGCAAACAGUAUGUUUUUGGCGGGCAAGGCUUAGCUGGAGGCAAAACAGUUCUCCACAGACAUUAAUCAGCGCUAGCUAGCAAGUUCUUUUGGCUUGCUUAAGAAAACAGAGGAAGAUGAUACAAGUGGUGCAUUCAGAAAUAAUCACUCAGAUUGCUGGAGUGACCCUGGCACAAACUGCACCAUUCGUAAAUUCGGAGCACCGUUGGAAUGUACCUGCAUUCAUCCCUACAACAGGAAAUACUUUUUCCCUAACCUGACAUGAAGUGUGUGCUGCACAUGUGAGCACUUUUGAUGAUCUCCUCCGUCCAGUCCUUUCGUCUUAUCACAUUUAACCAUAGCUAUCUUUGUUUUGUUGACAGCACUGGCUGGUAUGUGAUAAAAUUUAAGUUUUGAGCCAUGACUCCUUCUAUUCUGGCUCCCAGUAACACAACAAGACGACAUUAUAAGACUCCUAUGUAGCCUACAGCCCUGUGGUGGUGAGGCAUGUUUUGCCUCCAGCUAAUAAAAUGACGUCAUCGUGUCGUUGGCACUAAAAGGGUCUAUACUAUGCAGGAAGCGUUGGCUGCUGUUUGUUAACAGUAUUGCCAGUGAAAGUAAAGGUGAAAGCCAACCCCAGAUUCACUCUUGAUCUGGAACGAGCUUUGUCUACUUCGUUAGAUUUGCCUCAAGAUAUUGGCAGGUUUUUGGCUCUUUGUCUGCGAUUUUUGUAGCUUCCUCUUGAAUGCGUGCUGCUCACGGUCUGGCACCUGGUCACUAACUUUGGAGAUACAAAAAGUCCCGAACACAGCAAACUAUAAAUAAGAAGAUAAAUACACCGCCACAAACUUCUAGUGCGCCACAAGUGAUUAAUUCUGUACAAGUCUAUACAUUGUUUUUAGAAAACAAUAACUGCAUAGUAUACCUUGAACUACACUAAGCCAUUACUUUAGUCCAGCCAUCUCUCACGUUAGCAUAACUGCUCUCAAAUUGAUCUUAAAGCUUAUAUUUAGAAAUGACAUUUUUGCGAUUACAAGCCUCUCAACAGGGAGCCAAUCACAAGUGCUUCAGCCAAUAACAGUGCUGGAAAAUACUUUGUUUAAAUCUCAUGAAGAAAUUUUUUUUUCCAUCCAUCUUUUCUUUGUUAACCAUUAUCCAAACCUACCAAACCAAACUACCUCUGCCUUUUGCCUUUAUAGAUUUCUUUGCUGUUGUUACGUAAUGUUAUUUCCACCUUAUUGGUGAUCCAGCCCAGGCAACAGAAGAAAUGUUGACAUUGCACGUUUCUGCAAACCACGGCUACAUUACUGUAUGUUUCAUAUCAACAUUUCUAAAGUGACGUAGUUCUGAUUACAUGUACAUGAGCUGGCUUUGUCAUUGGGAGAUGGAGGGGGUGGUGGAUGGUGUGCCAACAUGGCAAUACCACUGUUCGAAACCAACAAGCAACAAAGUUUGUUUUUAGCAAGACAUCGCUGUGUUUUCAGCAGCGAUUGUGCCACCAAAACUGGUCAUUUUAAGUCAAAACCAAGUGGGUUUUGUGCCUUAACAUAACCACAAGCUAACCACAUCACUGUUGAAAUGUAAAGAGUCAUAAAGUUUAAACAUAUCUGCUACUUAAUGUACAAAUGUUCUAUAUCUGUGGUUUGCAGCAAUGUAAAAAGGCAACAUUCAAUAUUAAAGACUGGGCUGAGUGACCACGACUGUUCUCAGAAAACGUUGCCGUUUCUACAGUUAGAUUUGACAGAUGAAAUUACUGCACACUGCUUCAAAGUGCCAUUUUAUUCGUAAGGCUUAAUAUCUGUCUGUCUGUCAUGAAAAGCGUGCAGGAAUUUCUUAUUUCUCUGUUCUACUUUCAUUCAGAUUACAUUCUGCAGGGAUUCUUACUUAGACGUGUGAGUAUCAACUUGCCGCACAAAAAACAUGGAAAACUCAUGUUGCCUAAUUAAACACAGCAUUCACAACACAGCAACCUUUUCCUUAUUUUAUAUAAAAACAAUAUAAUUUGAAAAUAAAUAUGCUUUACUGUUUUACAUAGACACAGAAAACAUGUUAAUAGUGAAGGAGAGACAAAGAGAACUAAUAAUGAGGGCUCUAAGACUGAUGGCAGAGACGAUGCAUAUUGUUAUCCAGAUUUAAAACGGUGGUGGUGGUGGUGGUGGUGUUGUGGCGUACGCUGCGCUGCUAGCAGUAGUUUAUUUGUAUUUACAUCUUGCAGGACGGACAAAACACAGGCCCGCUACUUACUUUAAAUACUUAAAUACAACUCACUAACACCUACUCACAGAUGUGCACAUCGGAAAAUGCACGUGAACACACACUCAUACACACGUACACAAACACACAGAUACACGUAUGUUAAAAUCCUACACGGCACCCACACCCUUAGACAAGAGGGGCUAAAAAAUCCAACAUGGUCUCACAGAAAUACAAGAAAUGACUUCUUAACACAGCAUUACGUGCUGGUGGCACAAAUUGUGUUGAAAUGACAUGCUGGCAUGAUGGAAACAGUGCCAAUGGAAAGUCAGUUCAGAUCCUUGGUCAUGGUGGACACACAAAUUUCCUGGUUCAACCACAUCACGCACUGGCUGGUUGUUAAUGUUACUGCCGCAGAUAGUACAAAGAGUGAGAAAGUCUGCUUAGAGAAGUGGUAACGUUGGUGGAUGCGUUGAAUGAAAAACCGAACAUUCACUUUAUGUUUUACUUACUCACGCUGUUCAUGUAGUUACAUCAUGAAACGUCAUGUAACUAUCAAACCAAGCAGUUUUGGUGCCUUAACACAAUUGUGCCGCCAUAUACCGCAAAAAAAACAAAACAAAAAACAUAGUACUUUUAACCGAAAAUGCGAUCUUGUUUGUAAAGUUAUCCAAGUAUUUUGGUGGGUAAACCCAAUCAUGCUGCUCCAUACGUGACAAACACAGUAAAUGUACCCGAAAACACAAUCUUGUUCUAAACCUCACCAAACAUGAACCUAACAAACGUAGUUAUUUUAGCUGAAAACACAAUUUUCACUUAGCAGAUUUGCUGCCUCAUCUCAACCGUGCCGUCCAAUACAUAAAAACGUAGUUAUUUUAAACUCGUUUUCCUAGACCUAACCAACCAAUUUUGUGCUUAAACCCAAUCCUGUUGUUCUGUAUGUAACAAACGUAGUUAUUUUAACCGAAAACCCAAUCUUUUUCUAAACCUAAACAAGCCAGUUUGGUGUCUAAUCCCAACUGUACCGUCGCAUACGUAACAAACCUAGUAAUUUAAACUGAAAACAUCAUUUUUUUCUAAAACUUACCAAACAAUUUUGUGCCUAUACCCAAUUGUGUUCCCCUGUAUGUAACAAACGUAGUUAUUUUAACCAAAAAUGCAAUCUUUUUCUUACCUAACCAAGAAGUUUUGGUGUCUAAAUCCAGCCGUGCUGCCACAACGUAAUUUCAACACGAUACCAUGUAAUGUGGCGUUCAGAGGCCAUGGUCAUUUCACGUAUUUCUGCGAGAUCCUGUUGAAAAAUCAUCAUGAGAUGUCAUCAGUACACAAGUACAAAUGAUCCAUUUAAGGGAAUGUUAACAAAUCAUUUUUGAUUUUUUUUUUUUUUUUCGUGUUUCGUAGAAAA